This is a long non-coding RNA of Oncorhynchus tshawytscha (Chinook salmon), 1301 nucleotides long. The record is from Ensembl. Lineage: Eukaryota; Metazoa; Chordata; Actinopteri; Salmoniformes; Salmonidae.
GUGCUCCACAGUCAGGUAUUUGUGCUCACAAGUCAUUAUUUUCCUGGUGAGGUGAAAGGGGCUGUCAAAGAAGGUGAUGAUAAGGGACCCGUGAACACAGAUGAGAUAGAGAGGAGGGGGAGAAAGAAAAAAGAGAAAUGAAAGCAAUAGGAUGAGAAGGUUAGAAAGGGAGGUGAGACAGAUGUAGAGCAAAAGGAGAGGUGGAAGAGAAAAUAGACGAGAGAGAGAGAGAGAGAGAGAGAGAGAUAUGAUGAGAGAGAGAUGGGGGGAGAGAGAGAGAGAGAGAUAGAUGGUGAGAGAGAGAGAGAGAGAUGGUGAGAGAGAGAGAUGCCAAUAAAGCCCUGUGAAUUGAAUUGAAUGGAGAGGGAGAGAGAGAAAUGGAGAGAGAGAGAAAGAGAGAGAGAGAUGGUGUGGGAGAGAGAGGUAGAUGGGUAAUAGGAUUUACUGUAGAUACUCAAAUGGCAGGUCAGAGCAGGACAAACAGGUUCCCAUGCCCUUCUCUUUACCCUGCUCCUCUCUUCCCGCCUUCUUGGCACAAUCCAGCCUGCAGCCCCACAUCUCUGCCAGGGCCAGUGUCAUUUCUAACAGCUGCUUUUUAAUCCACAGGAUCUUCAUUAACCCCCAGGAAAGACGCAGAGGACACAGGAAGAAAGGAGGAGAGAGGAAGAGAGGAGAGAGCAGGGCAGAUCGGGGGAGAGGGCCACAGAGCAAUCACAGACCUCAUUAUGAACACUGAAAGACCUGGCCAGAUGAGAUGGAGGGGAGAGAGAGAGCGAGAGCCACCCGAGGGACACUGAACACACACAGCCUGCAGGCUACAGCUCCACACCAGACAGAGCAUGGGCUGUUCACUACAUUGGCACUUUGUGAUGGCACCUCCGCACUGUUCGUCCAACCAGGAUGAAGAGCAGUGCUGCCAGCAGGAAGAAGAAGACGGAGAAGGGAGCAAACAGGAAGGAGGUGGUAGACUGUUGGACACUGAGAGGAGUGUUGUUGCUGGGCAGCGUAGUCCUCCAGAGUGUCCAGUACCUGGGUCCAGACUACAUACAUCAUUAUUACAACCAGGAGACAUAGACCUGGAGAGAGGAGAGGGAGAGGGGGAGGAAGAGGGAAACAUUUAAACUCAAUAAAAGUUAAUAGAACAUAAAUGCGUCUCCUGAUUAGUGGCAACUUGUCAUUCAGGGCAGGUGGGGUUGCCUGUUUGCAUGUUAUUUUGGCAUUAAUACAUGUCACAUAUCAGUUUGAAAACAAUGUAAAAAAUAUAUAUAUAAUAAUGUUAAUAAAGCCGCAUACAAGCUUGG